GCGGUAGGCUUAACACAUGCAAGUCGUGCGAGAAAGUAUCUUCGGAUAUGAGUAUAGCGGCGGACGGGUGAGUAACGCGUAGGAAUCUACCUAGUAGAAGGGGAUAGCCCGAGGAAACUCGGAUUAAUACCGUAUACCUCCUUAGGGAGAAAGAGGGCCUCUCUUGAUGCUCUCGCUAUUAGAUGAGCCUGCGUAAGAUUAGCUUGUUGGUGAGGUAAUGGCUCACCAAGGCUACGAUCUUUAGCUGGUCUGAGAGGACGAUCAGCCACAUUGGGACUGAGACACGGCCCAGACUCCUACGGGAGGCAGCAGUGGGGAAUAUUGGACAAUGGGCGCAAGCCUGAUCCAGCCAUACCGCGUGUGUGAAGAAGGCCCUAGGGUUGUAAAGCACUUUAAGCAGGGAGAAAAAGUUAUAAGUUAAUACCUUAUAGCCCUGAUGUUACCUGCAGAAUAAGCACCGGCUAAUUCCGUGCCAGCAGCCGCGGUAAUACGGAAGGUGCAAGCGUUAAUCGGAAUUACUGGGCGUAAAGCGCGCGUAGGUGGUUUGUUAAGUUGGAUGUGAAAGCCCUGGGCUCAACCUAGGAACUGCAUCCAAAACUAACUCACUUGAGUACGAUAGAGGGAGGUAGAAUUCAUAGUGUAGCGGUGGAAUGCGUAGAUAUUAUGAAGAAUACCAGUGGCGAAGGCGGCCUCCUGGAUCUGUACUGACACUGAGGUGCGAAAGCGUGGGUAGCGAACAGGAUUAGAUACCCUGGUAGUCCACGCCGUAAACGAUGACAACUAGCUGUUGGGAGACAAAGUCUUUCAGUGGCGCAGCUAACGUUUUAAGUUGUCCGCCUGGGGAG
Molecule: ribosomal RNA, 845 nt
Filed under: uncultured Gammaproteobacteria bacterium
Lineage: Bacteria; Pseudomonadati; Pseudomonadota; Gammaproteobacteria
Description: bacterial SSU rRNA
Rfam family: Bacterial small subunit ribosomal RNA
Source: RNAcentral